This 4336-nucleotide long non-coding RNA is filed under the name Citrus x clementina. RNAcentral's name for it is "Citrus clementina (C. clementina) long non-coding RNA (CCLE_LNC004622)". The record is from RNAcentral. Lineage: Eukaryota; Viridiplantae; Streptophyta; Magnoliopsida; Sapindales; Rutaceae.
UUCCACCUCAUCCCCGUCCCCUCCCCGAAUAAGAAAUUGGGUAAAAAAAUUUCCCCGUCUCUUCCCCGAAUAAGAAAUUGGGUAUGAAAUUAUCCCCAUACCCUCCCCGAAUGGGGAAAAUCCCCGAGAGUACCCGUCCCCGUGGGGAUUUUUGCCAUCCCUACGUAUGGACAUCAACUUCAAUUAUGUUGAUUUCUUUACAUCAUUUAUAAUGCAUCAUAGUAGAUCAUGUGUAGAUUUGUUCUUUAUCCCCUUGUUGUUUUUUUCCUUUUUCAUAUAAUUAAGUUUUCAAUUUUCUUGUUGCUAUAGGAACAAUGUUGAUGGUAAUCCUCGGCACUGAAUGCAUAUCUCUUGGCUUUAGGGUAAUGGUUGAUGGUUUGAUUUUAUUUAUUUAUUAUUUAUUCUUUUUGGUCAUCAAACAAAUGUAGCUUAGGGAAAUGGCCACUUUUUUAUUUUAUUUUUGUCGCCUACUUUUUCAUCCUUUUUAAUCAUUAUUUUAAGCGUUUGCCUACCUUACGUUUAAGGUACAGCCUUCUCACACAACUGAGAAGUGGGUUCUAGUGGGACCCAUUACUGUAGAGAGGAUUGUACCUUACGUUUAACGUAAGGUAGCAUCUCUCUUGUUUUAAACUUCCUACGGGCCAUAACAAAUGGUGAAAAGGACGCAUGAAACGACCGCAUAUGCUAUCUUUUUUAUUGUCCUUUCUUCCUAAUGGCUAUUUAACAGUACUCCCAUAAAAUUGUGACAAUGGUUUUGGCAAUCAAUUUCAUCAGAACAAUUAUUAACUAAUCCAAUAUUUAAUCACCACCAUAUUCAACUUUCCUUAAAAAAAAAAAAAACAGUUCUAAUGACUAAAAACACUAUUAUCAUAUAAAAUUGGGUUUAGUAAGGAUAUAUUAGAUAUUUAGUUGGUUUUAUUGAGUAAAAUUUAAAGGUUCAAAACUUUAUGUCUAGCAAGUAGUUUAGUGGAUUCAAAUAGCUUCACCCAAUCCUUUCAUAAUGUUUACGGUUUUACCUUAAUUAAAACAACUAUUAAAGAUAAAGACAUGUUUGCCACAGCAACAUCAUCCAAGGAGAAAGCCUUCCAUAGUGUGAUUUGCAUCAACACCACUAUCUCGUGUAGUGUUGACCCAAUUAUUAUAUGACACGUGUGUGUGCGUGGGGGGGGGGGGAGGGUAACUCUUUGUUGGUUAAACAACUUAAAUUUGAUAAAAAGAUAAGGAGAAUAAUCAUACAGGUAGAGAGAUUUACAACUUAAGAAGAAGAAACUAAUUCAAACACAACAACAAAAGCCCACAAAAAUCUAAAUGUUUGAUGUUUUAUAAUUUAUACAUACAAAAUUUAAUUAUUUAUACUUUUUGUUUAUAAAUGGUAUAAGAAUUGCAUUAUAUAAAUUAUUUCUUAUAUGUCACUUGUUAAAUAAAAUUUUAUUACUCAUAAAUAAAUUGUAUUUUCAUCUUACAUAACUAAAUUAUAAUUACAUUAUUGAUUGAAUUUUUCAAAAUUCAUAAUGCAUUACUGUUGUUUGAUAAUUUAUACGUAUAGUGAAAAAGUAAAAAAAAAUAAUCUUCAUAUAUAAUGAUUUAUCUUAUAGUUGCCAAAAAACAUAAACUCAUGAAAUUCAUUUUAAUAAGCACAAAUGCUCAAUUUCUAUAAUGAAUGAAUUCUUUCCCAAAAAAAUUUUAUGAUCAAUGAAUAAAUAAAUAUAGAAAUGAUCAUACGAUUGAGAUUGUAUAUGAGAAUUUGAUUGAUUAACAAGUAUUGAAGCCAUCUUGAACUGAUAGUCACCUUUGUAUUGAUUAAUAAAGACAACAACAAUUAAAUUAAGAUUUAAUUAAUUGCUUGUAACAUGAGUGUUGACGCUUGAUUUUUUCCCACCUGGGGUCGAACCAUGUGCAACAGAUGGAGGUAUACAUGCACACACAACAACAAAUAAAAAACGGUGAAAUAAGGGGGGUUUCCGACAAUCCCACUUUGAUACUUAAGUCAGCCGCUAAAGAAUUCGAGUUAAAUCAUAAAAUAUUAGAAUUCUAGUGAACCUAACCUCUCUUUGAGAGAGUAAUUUAAUAUUUAUACCAUACCACAUAUUUAGGAGAGUGGCCCUCUUAUUUUUGGUGAAUGUGAGUAGUUAUUGGUCUCAUCCAUUGUGGGAUCGAAGUGCUGCAUUGCAAUUAUGGCUUUAUCUUUUUUAUUUUAGAAGGUUGUAGGAUGGUGGAGUAGCUCACAUAAUCCGACCCCUGGAGUGAUGGAAGAAGAAAGUGGGGCAUGUUUUUAGGAGUGAACUCUUCUAUUUUAGCUAUGUGUUGACCUUGUAACAAGCUUCCUUAAUCACUUUAUUUGUAGUCCCAUGAUUAUUUCGUAAUGAUAAAUAUUAACCUAAUGUUUCAGGCUUGUUGGGUCGGUGUUUAUGAACAAAUCAAAGUCUCAACUGAGAGUUCCCUACUUCUCACCUUGAGCGGUCCUUAAUUCCCACCUAAUAAUUUAUAUUAUUGCCUUCGAGGGAUCUAACUUUCUCUCUUGGAGACCCUGACCCCUCGAUGUGGUAUAAGUGAUUAAAUUCCAUAUCAACAAUGAGUAAGUGGUAACUGUCAAUUAAAGAUGAAUCUAAGGAUAGAGGUACUUCAUUUUAAGUCAAAUAGUUCAUUUUUAAUAACUAUUGAUAUUGUUAUUUUUUUAAUAGCAUCAUAGAGAAAUCUACACACACUACAUGUAUGUAUGUAUGUAUGUAUGUAUGUGUAUGUAUAUGAAUAUGUAUAAUUCGAAAUUACCUCAAAAACUUUACCAAACCAACCACCAAAAUCUGACCAGCUAAAACUGCUAAUUUCCAAUUUGAUCCUCGUUGCCCAAGGAACAGUUCUUGUUCUCACCGAAUUCUUCUUCAUAUAUCUACAAUCAAUGAAAAUUUUAAAGGUAUAUAAGUAUUAAAGGUAUUCAAGAUCUCUUUUCAUGGUCCCUCAUUUUACUUUGUAACAAUAGUCUUUAUCGCAAUAUUAUUAGUGAAAGUUUUUAAUUCUCUUUCUUUUUUAGUUCAUCAUUUUUGCCUAUUUUUUGCCAUUUUUAGUUUGCUUCUACUACCUCCUUCUAAAUUUAUGGUUAUUUAUUCCAUUUUUUUUUCACAGAUGCAUCAGAAAGAAAUUGGAUCGAAAAAUGUAAUUUUUAUGUUUAAGUUUCUUUUUCUUUUUUAAUUUCACAUGCAUCAAAGAAAAAGAAAUGAAGCUAGAAGGAGGAGGCAAGUAGAAUUGCAGAAAAUGAAAAGGGCAGCGAGGGAGGUGAGAGAGCUUUUUGUUUUGAAUGAGAAAGAAGAAGAGGCAAAAUUGAUUUUGAUUACAUAAAAAGUACAUAAAGCCUAAAUAAUGGCCUAACUAAAGUGUUUGAUAAAAAUUAUCUACUGUACCUUAAAAGUUAAGUUAAUUUAAUUUUACGCUUGUAGAUAAAAAAUCUCUUAUAUUUUUAUUAAUUUUAUCAAAAUAUUAUUUAAAAAUUAUAUUUAUUACAUAAUAUUAUCUUUUGUUUCAUAGUUAUAAUUUUUGUUUUCACAACAGGCGUAUCUUAAAAAGUUACAGUAGCUCAAUCUUAAACAAGACUUUAAUGGAUUGGUUGCCACAAGUCAUGAAAUAAUUAGGUCAAUACUGCUGCAUCAGUAGAUGAGCCAGUGGUGUUGACACCGUGGAAGACUCUCACCAACGUAGAGAAGUAUGAAAUAAUUAUGGUGCUAUUAGAUUAGAAUGACUUUUAAAUAAUCUAAAUGAGAUAUCUUUAGGAACUGGUAUUAUAAGGACUUUUGAGGGGUGUCAAAAGCAGGACUGUAGAUGGUUGAGUUUAUGCAUGAAAUUUAAGAAUGAAGAUGAAGGCUUUGGGCUCGUUAUACAUUUUCCAAAUAUAAGUUAUCAAGGCCCACGUAGGAAAUAAUGGAACCUUUGCUGCCACAAUAAUAAUUGGACAGGUUUUCUUUUCAUAUCUGAAUCAUCGGAUUAUUUCAUUACUUUGUAGGGAGAUCAAUAAUAUUAAUGAAGUAUGGCACAGGCUGGAUAUUUCAUUACAGAUAGAAAUCUGGAUUUAUUUUUUUUUUUAUCGUCAUUUCUUUAGUUUCUCACAAGUAAAUUAUUACGCCAGUGGAAAAACCAACACAUUCAUGAUUCACCCCACUUCUCGUUCUCAAAUGAUCAAUUGACCAAAAUCAAUCACAUGGCCGGCCACUAGCUAAUUAGAGUGUACAUACAUGAAAAUAAUGAAAAUAGGCACACUUUUAUAUCAUAAUUUUCAACAAUACCUGCGUGAUUUAGGGACAGUUUAGUGAAGUUGUUGUUUUCAAAAUAAUUGUUGUUAAUUAUGCUG